RNAcentral lists this ribosomal RNA (406 nucleotides) under uncultured Bifidobacterium sp. RNAcentral's name for it is "bacterial SSU rRNA". It matches the Rfam family "Bacterial small subunit ribosomal RNA", at positions 356 to 774 of the family's 1533-position model. The record is from RNAcentral. Lineage: Bacteria; Bacillati; Actinomycetota; Actinomycetes; Bifidobacteriales; Bifidobacteriaceae.
GGGGAAUAUUGCACAAUGGGCGCAAGCCUGAUGCAGCGACGCCGCGUGAGGGAUGACGGCCUUCGGGUUGUAAACCUCUUUUGUUAGGGAGCAAGCGUAAGUGAGUGUACCUUUCGAAUAAGCACCGGCUAACUACGUGCCAGCAGCCGCGGUAAUACGUAGGGUGCAAGCGUUAUCCGGAAUUAUUGGGCGUAAAGAGCUCGUAGGCGGCUUGUCGCGUCCGGUGUGAAAGUCCAUCGCUUAACGGUGGAUCUGCGCCGGGUACGGGCAGGCUAGAAUGCGGUAGGGGAGACUGGAAUUCCCGGUGUAACGGUGGAAUGUGUAGAUAUCGGGAAGAACACCAAUGGCGAAGGCGGGUUGCUGGACCGAAACUGACGCUGAGACGCGAAAGCGUGGGUAGCAAACA